Molecule: unclassified non-coding RNA, 571 nt
Filed under: Hevea brasiliensis (rubber tree)
Lineage: Eukaryota; Viridiplantae; Streptophyta; Magnoliopsida; Malpighiales; Euphorbiaceae
Source: RNAcentral
GUAUGCAAGGAAAAGACAAACACAAUUAUAGCUGAAUUUUACUAAUCAAGCACCAGAAAGUUUACUAAGAUCUGCAUGAAGAAAUUAUUUACAUCCAAGCUGGACAAUAUAGAUCAUUGAAACCAAAAAGUAUCUUUUUUUGUCACCUCCAUCCAACCAAAUUCACAAGUGCUAAGGCCUUCCAUACAGGAAAAAAUAUCAGUUUUAUCAUGUAGAUGCCCAGAACAAUUCAUAGAAUAUUAAAACUCACAAAGUAAAAUCCAUCAAGGACAAAUGACCAUGGACUCUCCAUGCCUUUGCAAAGGAAAUUGGAAUACGCAUCAAUAUAGCAUUUUUACUUUUUUAGAAGUUCAGCCUAUGUCCAAUAACCCAAAAAUGGAAAACCAAACAAUUAAGAGAAGAAUGAAGUCAAUUAUCAAUGAGGAGAACUGCAAAACUAAAACUAGUGGAGAUAGAAAUUUAGUUAAAAAAGUCAGAGUUGAUAGUCGAUAAGACCAUAAAAUAACUGGAAAUUCAGCCAUCAUAAACAUAAAUAGAAACAAGUCUUACUUUGUAAUUUUCCAGUGCAAAC